This 324-nucleotide ribosomal RNA is filed under the name Kwonkan sp. MYG164. RNAcentral's name for it is "partial 12S ribosomal RNA". The record is from RNAcentral. Lineage: Eukaryota; Metazoa; Arthropoda; Arachnida; Araneae; Anamidae.
ACUAGCAGAAAAAAGGUAAUACCUUCAGAGAAACCUUUGCUCUUUGGCGGCCUUUUAUUAUUCAGAGGAACUUGUCAAAUAAUCGAAAUUACCCGAUCAAUCUCACUCUCCUUCAGUCUUUAUACCGUCGUCUAAAGAACUCAUUAUCACAUAAAGUUCAAAACCGGAACAUCCACCCAAGUCAGAUCAAGGUGAAGCGUAUAGAAGAGGUCUGAUGAGUUAUUCAUAAAAAGAAUUUAAGGAAGCUGUAAAAAAAGACAGACCAAUCAAGAUUUGAAAGUACCCCAAGAUUAUAAUUCUUAGGGAAAAUAACAAAAAAGGUGU